UUAAGCGACUAAGCGUACACGGUGGAUGCCCUGGCAGUCAGAGGCGAUGAAGGACGUGCUAAUCUGCGAUAAGCGUCGGUAAGGUGAUAUGAACCGUUAUAACCGGCGAUUUCCGAAUGGGGAAACCCAGUGUGUUUCGACACACUAUCAUUAACUGAAUCCAUAGGUUAAUGAGGCGAACCGGGGGAACUGAAACAUCUAAGUACCCCGAGGAAAAGAAAUCAACCGAGAUUCCCCCAGUAGCGGCGAGCGAACGGGGAGCAGCCCAGAGCCUGAAUCAGUGUGUGUGUUAGUGGAAGCGUCUGGAAAGGCGCGCGAUACAGGGUGACAGCCCCGUACACAAAAAUGCACAUGCUGUGAGCUCGAUGAGUAGGGCGGGACACGUGGUAUCCUGUCUGAAUAUGGGGGGACCAUCCUCCAAGGCUAAAUACUCCUGACUGACCGAUAGUGAACCAGUACCGUGAGGGAAAGGCGAAAAGAACCCCGGCGAGGGGAGUGAAAAAGAACCUGAAACCGUGUACGUACAAGCAGUGGGAGCACGCUUAGGCGUGUGACUGCGUACCUUUUGUAUAAUGGGUCAGCGACUUAUAUUCUGUAGCAAGGUUAACCGAAUAGGGGAGCCGAAGGGAAACCGAGUCUUAACUGGGCGUUAAGUUGCAGGGUAUAGACCCGAAACCCGGUGAUCUAGCCAUGGGCAGGUUGAAGGUUGGGUAACACUAACUGGAGGACCGAACCGACUAAUGUUGAAAAAUUAGCGGAUGACUUGUGGCUGGGGGUGAAAGGCCAAUCAAACCGGGAGAUAGCUGGUUCUCCCCGAAAGCUAUUUAGGUAGCGCCUCGUGAAUUCAUCUCCGGGGGUAGAGCACUGUUUCGGCAAGGGGGUCAUCCCGACUUACCAACCCGAUGCAAACUACGAAUACCGGAGAAUGUUAUCACGGGAGACACACGGCGGGUGCUAACGUCCGCCGUGAAGAGGGAAACAACCCAGACCGCCAGCUAAGGUCCCAAAGUCAUGGUUAAGUGGGAAACGAUGUGGGAAGGCCCAGACAGCCAGGAUGUUGGCUUAGAAGCAGCCAUCAUUUAAAGAAAGCGUAAUAGCUCACUGGUCGAGUCGGCCUGCGCGGAAGAUGUAACGGGGCUAAACCAUGCACCGAAGCUGCGGCAGCGACGCUUAUGCGUUGUUGGGUAGGGGAGCGUUCUGUAAGCCUGUGAAGGUGUACUGUGAGGUAUGCUGGAGGUAUCAGAAGUGCGAAUGCUGACAUAAGUAACGAUAAAGCGGGUGAAAAGCCCGCUCGCCGGAAGACCAAGGGUUCCUGUCCAACGUUAAUCGGGGCAGGGUGAGUCGACCCCUAAGGCGAGGCCGAAAGGCGUAGUCGAUGGGAAACAGGUUAAUAUUCCUGUACUUGGUGUUACUGCGAAGGGGGGACGGAGAAGGCUAUGUUGGCCGGGCGACGGUUGUCCCGGUUUAAGCGUGUAGGCUGGUUUUCCAGGCAAAUCCGGAAAAUCAAGGCUGAGGCGUGAUGACGAGGCACUACGGUGCUGAAGCAACAAAUGCCCUGCUUCCAGGAAAAGCCUCUAAGCAUCAGGUAACAUCAAAUCGUACCCCAAACCGACACAGGUGGUCAGGUAGAGAAUACCAAGGCGCUUGAGAGAACUCGGGUGAAGGAACUAGGCAAAAUGGUGCCGUAACUUCGGGAGAAGGCACGCUGAUAUGUAGGUGAAGUGAUUUACUCAUGGAGCUGAAAUCAGUCGAAGAUACCAGCUGGCUGCAACUGUUUAUUAAAAACACAGCACUGUGCAAACACGAAAGUGGACGUAUACGGUGUGACGCCUGCCCGGUGCCGGAAGGUUAAUUGAUGGGGUCAGCGCAAGCGAAGCUCUUGAUCGAAGCCCCGGUAAACGGCGGCCGUAACUAUAACGGUCCUAAGGUAGCGAAAUUCCUUGUCGGGUAAGUUCCGACCUGCACGAAUGGCGUAAUGAUGGCCAGGCUGUCUCCACCCGAGACUCAGUGAAAUUGAACUCGCUGUGAAGAUGCAGUGUACCCGCGGCAAGACGGAAAGACCCCGUGAACCUUUACUAUAGCUUGACACUGAACAUUGAGCCUUGAUGUGUAGGAUAGGUGGGAGGCUUUGAAGUGUGGACGCCAGUCUGCAUGGAGCCGACCUUGAAAUACCACCCUUUAAUGUUUGAUGUUCUAACGUGGACCCGUAAUCCGGGUUGCGGACAGUGUCUGGUGGGUAGUUUGACUGGGGCGGUCUCCUCCUAAAGAGUAACGGAGGAGCACGAAGGUUGGCUAAUCCUGGUCGGACAUCAGGAGGUUAGUGCAAUGGCAUAAGCCAGCUUGACUGCGAGCGUGACGGCGCGAGCAGGUGCGAAAGCAGGUCAUAGUGAUCCGGUGGUUCUGAAUGGAAGGGCCAUCGCUCAACGGAUAAAAGGUACUCCGGGGAUAACAGGCUGAUACCGCCCAAGAGUUCAUAUCGACGGCGGUGUUUGGCACCUCGAUGUCGGCUCAUCACAUCCUGGGGCUGAAGUAGGUCCCAAGGGUAUGGCUGUUCGCCAUUUAAAGUGGUACGCGAGCUGGGUUUAGAACGUCGUGAGACAGUUCGGUCCCUAUCUGCCGUGGGCGCUGGAGAACUGAGGGGGGCUGCUCCUAGUACGAGAGGACCGGAGUGGACGCAUCACUGGUGUUCGGGUUGUCAUGCCAAUGGCACUGCCCGGUAGCUAAAUGCGGAAGAGAUAAGUGCUGAAAGCAUCUAAGCACGAAACUUGCCCCGAGAUGAGUUCUCCCUGACUCCUUGAGAGUCCUGAAGGAACGUUGAAGACGACGACGUUGAUAGGCCGGGUGUGUAAGCGCAGCGAUGCGUUGAGCUAACCGGUACUAAUGAACCGUGAGGCUUAACCUU
This 2902-nucleotide ribosomal RNA is filed under the name Escherichia coli KTE135. Its description in RNAcentral is "bacterial LSU rRNA". It matches the Rfam family "Bacterial large subunit ribosomal RNA". Lineage: Bacteria; Pseudomonadati; Pseudomonadota; Gammaproteobacteria; Enterobacterales; Enterobacteriaceae. The record is from RNAcentral.